RNAcentral lists this ribosomal RNA (383 nucleotides) under uncultured eukaryote. Its description in RNAcentral is "SSU rRNA". It matches the Rfam family "Eukaryotic small subunit ribosomal RNA", at positions 587 to 972 of the family's 1831-position model. The record is from RNAcentral.
AGCUCCAAUAGCGUAUAUUAAAGUUGUUGCAGUUAAAAAGCUCGUAGUUGAAUUUUGGAUUUGGCUGUUGUUGGUCGGCCGUAUAGGUCUGUACUCUUCUGGCCAAAUCUUUCCUUCUGGAGGACUAUCAUGCCAUUUACUUGGUGUGGUAGCGAUCCAGGACUUUUACCUUGAAAAAAUUAGAGUGUUUAAAGCAGGCAUACGCUUGAAUACAUUAGCAUGGAAUAAUAGAAUAGGACUUUGGUUCUAUUUUGUUGGUUUCUAGGACCGAAGUAAUGAUUAAUAGGGACAGUUGGGGGCAUUAGUAUUUAAUUGUCAGAGGUGAAAUUCUUGGAUUUAUGAAAGACUAACUUCUGCGAAAGCAUUUGCCAAGGAUGUUUUCA